Molecule: long non-coding RNA, 856 nt
Organism: Bacillus rossius redtenbacheri
Lineage: Eukaryota; Metazoa; Arthropoda; Insecta; Phasmatodea; Bacillidae
Exons: 2
Source: RefSeq, a predicted model, not a curated record
GCCAUGAUCUGUAGUCUAUGAUUGAAUGAACGUGAUGUUUUGGAUUAUGGUGUAUUUUUAUUUAAACUAUUGAGACAUUUGUAGAGGUAAAAUGGUAAAUGAAGUUACUGUUGCCAUGGAUUCUGAAGAAAAAGUCACAGAUGAUGCUCUGGAUCUGUCAGAAUUGGAAAACCACAGUGAGAUUGUGCAGAACGUAAACGCUCUGCAUCAGAGUGUGGACAGAAUUGACAAGAUUGUGGACACACUGUGUAAAAGUGACAUUUAUGCCAGCCUCGAUGUUGAGAGCCGUGUGAAGCACGAUUUGUUUGUGUCUUAUUCACUUAACUCAUUAUUUUGGAUGUAUUUGCGUACAAAGGGGUGCAACCCGGCACGUACCCAGAUUAAGUCAGAAAUUGGUCGUGUGAAAACUUACUUCGAUAAAUUUCAAAAGAUACGUGAUCGUAAGACGGUAAUGCCGCGCAUAGAUCAAGGUGCCACUAAGCGGUUUGUCAAAAGUAGCCUGUGGGAACCACAGAAAGAAAAGAAAAAGAAGCAGUGAUACUUCAUUUGUGUUGUGUUUUAACUGAAACAGGAGCAGUUUUUUUUUUAUUUUUUACUCUUAAUGUUGACAGAGGACAUUUUAUUAUUUCUCAUUAGAAAGUUAAGUUUUGACCAGGAAGUCAAUAACCAAAAUUAUGUAUUAUUUGUCUUGUACAUUUUGCCAUACCCUAAGAAGUUGCAUAAAAAUUGUUUUAUUUGUCAAUGACUGGCCUAUGUUUAGCAAGAAAAGCAUGAGACAGGUACUUAUGUACUCAGAUUUUGCAAGAUAUAUUGAUGAAUUUUUUUCUCAAUCGGCAGUAAAAUUAUAUUAAAUAAU